GGACUGAUGAUGAGCUAGGCGUGCUGAGCAUGAAUGAUGUGAGGCUCCACGGGAUUACUCUGAAGUCU
This is a small nucleolar RNA of Octodon degus (degu), 68 nucleotides long. RefSeq annotates it as small nucleolar RNA SNORD64. The transcript has a single exon. NCBI's taxonomy places the organism in Eukaryota, Metazoa, Chordata, Mammalia, Rodentia, Octodontidae. The record is from RefSeq and is a predicted model, not a curated record.